AGCGAACGCUGGCGGCAGGCUUAACACAUGCAAGUCGAGCGGGCAUCUUCGGAUGUCAGCGGCAGACGGGUGAGUAACACGUGGUAACGUACCCUUCGGUUCGGAACAACUCUGGGAAACUGGAGCUAAUACCGGAUACGCCCUUAUGGGGAAAGGUUUACUGCCGAAGGAUCGGCCCGCGUCUGAUUAGCUAGUUGGUGGGGUAACGGCCUACCAAGGCGACGAUCAGUAGCUGGUCUGAGAGGAUGAUCAGCCACACUGGGACUGAGACACGGCCCAGACUCCUACGGGAGGCAGCAGUGGGGAAUAUUGGACAAUGGGCGCAAGCCUGAUCCAGCCAUGCCGCGUGAGUGAUGAAGGCCUUAGGGUUGUAAAGCUCUUUUGUCCGGGACGAUAAUGACGGUACCGGAAGAAUAAGCCCCGGCUAACUUCGUG
RNAcentral lists this ribosomal RNA (435 nucleotides) under uncultured bacterium. RNAcentral describes it as "partial 16S ribosomal RNA". It matches the Rfam family "Bacterial small subunit ribosomal RNA", at positions 29 to 507 of the family's 1533-position model. The record is from RNAcentral.